CAAGUCGAGCGAACGGACGAGAAGCUUGCUUCUCUGAUGUUAGCGGCGGACGGGUGAGUAACACGUGGAUAACCUACCUAUAAGACUGGGAUAACUUCGGGAAACCGGAGCUAAUACCGGAUGAUAUUUUGAACCGCAUGGUUCAAAAGUGAAAGACGGUCUUGCUGUCACUUAUAGAUGGAUCCGCGCUGCAUUAGCUAGUUGGUAAGGUAACGGCUUACCAAGGCAACGAUGCAUAGCCGACCUGAGAGGGUGAUCGGCCACACUGGAACUGAGACACGGUCCAGACUCCUACGGGAGGCAGCAGUAGGGAAUCUUCCGCAAUGGGCGAAAGCCUGACGGAGCAACGCCGCGUGAGUGAUGAAGGUCUUCGGAUCGUAAAACUCUGUUAUUAGGGAAGAACAUAUGUGUAAGUAACUGUGCACAUCUUGACGGUACCUAAUCAGAAAGCCACGGCUAACUACGUGCCAGCAGCCGCGGUAAUACGUAGGUGGCAAGCGUUAUCCGGAAUUAUUGGGCGUAAAGCGCGCGUAGGCGGUUUUUUAAGUCUGAUGUGAAAGCCCACGGCUCAACCGUGGAGGGUCAUUGGAAACUGGAAAACUUGAGUGCAGAAGAGGAAAGUGGAAUUCCAUGUGUAGCGGUGAAAUGCGCAGAGAUAUGGAGGAACACCAGUGGCGAAGGCGACUUUCUGGUCUGUAACUGACGCUGAUGUGCGAAAGC
Molecule: ribosomal RNA, 720 nt
Filed under: uncultured Staphylococcus sp.
Lineage: Bacteria; Bacillati; Bacillota; Bacilli; Caryophanales; Staphylococcaceae
Description: bacterial SSU rRNA
Rfam family: Bacterial small subunit ribosomal RNA
Source: RNAcentral